AUUGAACGCUGGCGGCAUGCUUUACACAUGCAAGUCGAGCGGCAGCACGGGGGGGUAACCCUCUGGUGGCGAGUGGCGAACGGGUGAGUAAUGCAUCGGAACGUACCGUGUAGAGGGGGAUAACUAUCCGAAAGGAUGGCUAAUACCGCAUGAGCCCUGCGGGGGAAAGCUGGGGACCGGAGAAGGCCUGGCGCUAGACGAUUGGCCGAUGUCCGAUUAGCUAGUUGGUGAGGGAAAGGCUCACCAAGGCGACGAUCGGUAGUGGGUCUGCGAGGACGAUCCGCCACACUGGAACUGAGACACGGUCCAGACUCCUACGGGAGGCAGCAGUGGGGAAUUUUGGACAAUGGGCGCAAGCCUGAUCCAGCAAUGCCGCGUGAGUGAAGAAGGCCCUUGGGUUGUAAAGCUCUUUCGGUCGGGAAGAAGGAGGAGUGGUUAAGAGCUGCUCUGACGGACGGUACCGGCAUAAGAAGCACCGGCUAACUACGUGCCAGCCGCCGCGGUAA
This 506-nucleotide ribosomal RNA is filed under the name uncultured bacterium. RNAcentral describes it as "partial 16S ribosomal RNA". It matches the Rfam family "Bacterial small subunit ribosomal RNA", at positions 29 to 523 of the family's 1533-position model. The record is from RNAcentral.